GAUGAACGCUAGCGGGAGGCCUAACACAUGCAAGCCGAGCGGUAUUUGUCCUUCGGGACAGAGAGAGCGGCGUACGGGUGCGGAACACGUGUGCAACCUGCCUUUAUCUGGGGGAUAGCCUUUCGAAAGGAAGAUUAAUACCCCAUAAUAUAUCGAAUGGCAUCAUUCGAUAUUGAAAACUCCGGUGGAUAGAGAUGGGCACGCGCAAGAUUAGAUAGUUGGUGAGGUAACGGCUCACCAAGUCAGUGAUCUUUAGGGGGCCUGAGAGGGUGAUCCCCCACACUGGUACUGAGACACGGACCAGACUCCUACGGGAGGCAGCAGUGAGGAAUAUUGAACAAUGGGUGAGAGCCUGAUCCAGCCAUCCCGCGUGAAGGACUAAGGCCCUAUGGGUUGUAAACUUCUUUUAUACUGGGAUAAACCUACUUACGUGUAAGUAGCUGAAGGUACAGUAUGAAUAAGCACCGGCUAACUCCGUG
This 479-nucleotide ribosomal RNA is filed under the name uncultured bacterium. Its description in RNAcentral is "partial 16S ribosomal RNA". It matches the Rfam family "Bacterial small subunit ribosomal RNA", at positions 28 to 507 of the family's 1533-position model. The record is from RNAcentral.